GUAUUUUCCAUCGAUUCAAGCAGAAAUAAUGGCCGCCAUUGAUUUCAAUACAUUUUUAUCCUAUUUUUGUGGAGUACUUAUGUGAAAACGGAGUACGCAUUUGAUAAAUGCCCUCCGUGCUCCGUUUCGCAUACUUUGAUUUGGAAUCAUAAUAUGACCCUCCCACAUAGCCGUCUGUUUCUAUGGCAACUUCAACGUUUGUACCGUGUAAAGCUAGCUAGCUAGUUGGCUAUGAAAAGCUAACGUAAUGUAGCAAACGAAUAAUGGUUUUUAGAAUAUGUUUUAAGAAAGCAAACAGGCUAAAUGUUAAGAAAUGAUAUUCUGCAUUUAACAUACCGGUAGAAGUUAUGUAUUAAUAUCUUGUGGGAUGAGGGUAAGUUGUCUAGCUAACGCGAACGUUAGUAACGCGUCGCUAGCUAGGCACGUCCGUUUACAAACGUGUAUAGCCAGCUGUUCGACUUUGAUAGCUAGCUAGUUACUAAAAUUAUACGAUGUGUGAAAUCGCUGAAGUUACGUUACUAGCUUGGGUUCCUUUCUUUGCUAGCUAGCUAAAGUUAACAAGAUUGUAUGCCAGCCAUGGCCAAUCCUGACAUAACUAACGCGUUAGCUACUGUAGCUAGUUAGAUAGUUAGCUUGGUACCGUUAACGUUACUUCUUCUCUGCUGGUUUCAUCCACCAAACAGCCGACAGAAAUGGGAGCCCCUUAAACGCGCCAGGAGCAAGAAGGAGAUAGUGGAAAUUAUAAUGGUGUUGCCUGUGUGGGGCCUCACACUCCCUCUUCCGGCUGUACUGAUGAUUGUUGUUGGUCUUUACAUGAUUUUCCUUGCAAUGGCGUUAUGGUUCCGCCAGUGCCUUAAGGUACAGCAUUUACUUCCCUAUACCUAUCCCUUCCCUAUAUGCUGUUGUCCAGAUGAGAGACAGUCUGCUGUUGUGCACAGAUACCUUGCAAAUGUAGCUACAAAAGAGUGCAGUUCAACAAAGCCAGGAAGAUGAACCUUGAAUCAAAUAUACACUGCUCAAAAAAAUAAAGGGAACACUUAAACAACACAAUGUAACUCCAAGUCAAUCACACUUCUGUGAAAUCAAACUGUCCACUUAGGAAGCAACACUGAUUGACAAUAAAUUUCACAUGCUGUUGUGCAAAUGGAAUAGACAACAGGUGGAAAUUAUAGGCAAUUAGCAAGACACCCCCAAUAAAGGAGUGGUUCUGCAGGUGGUGACCACAGACCACUUCUCAGUUCCUAUGCUUCCUGGCUGAUGUUUUGGUCACUUUUGAAUGUUGGCGGUGCUUUCACUCUAGUGGUAGCAUGAGACAGAGUCUACAACCCACACAAGUGGCUCAGGUAGUGCAGCUCAUCCAGGAUGGCGCAUCAAUGCGAGCUGUGGC
Molecule: long non-coding RNA, 1387 nt
Filed under: Salmo trutta (river trout)
Lineage: Eukaryota; Metazoa; Chordata; Actinopteri; Salmoniformes; Salmonidae
Description: lncRNA (ENSSTUG00000023837.1)
Source: RNAcentral